GUCCCAUUCCAGGGGCUCCAGCCGCCCUUGGAUUUCAUAGCCCAGGCACGUGGACAAGUGGAGACAGAGAGCGGAGCCAUCUGCAGGUCCGCCCUACAGCCAAGUCCCAGCAGACGCGGGUGCUUAGCAAGGAGCCGGGGACCCGCUCACCGGCCAGCACUUUCCUCAUGGCAGGGUCGUGCCAGGCCCUCCAGGGGGCCGUCUCAUCAGAUCACUGACCCCAGCAGCCGGGGCGGCCUGCCUGGGUCUGGCCUGAGGAGCCCAAGCUAACGGUCCUUUCCCUGGUCCCUGAAGGAGCCAGGGACCCCCAUCCCCUAUCCCCCGCAUGUCUGAACAAAAGCAUCAUGCUCACCAGGGUUCCUGCCACUAAAUCAAACACUAAUACGCUCCCCUAAUUUCUCUAAGACAACAUUAGCCACACAAAAUGCAACGUAAAUGUUAAUAAGACACGGUUGUCUGGAAGCCGAGGGGCCGGCGGCCGGGGAAAUGGUAAUUUAUCGCGUGUUUGCCGAGGCAGGCCAGGCGCACACACCAGGGACAAGUUGUAUCUUUAACUUAACGGGCUUCCUCUUAAAGGCACAGCAGCCUCUCCCUGGAAAAGCGGGCUCCUGGCGGGCGAUGGGAUCUGGGCGCCGGGGGGUCCCCUGCAGCUGGAGAGACGCAUUCACGCGGAGGCUCAGCAGGCGGGUGAAGCCUCAGCAGGAGGGCUGCGAGCAAGCGUGGGCCGGGGAGCUUCCUCGUGGGCGCCCGGUUAAUUAUUGUGGGCGCUCAGCCCAUCCUUGUGGGCGGCCACCUUGUUAUUUCAGCUAAUAGCUCAGGAUCCCAGAGGCAGAGGCAGAGGAGCGCCCUGUGUCACCCACGAGGUGUGCAGAGCUUUGCUGUGAUCAUGUCAGCUCACCACCAAGGCCUGGUGUUGUGGGCCUUUUUAACCCAAUCUGCAGAUGAGAAACCUCAGGCUCCAGAGAGCAUAAGCCACUCCCCAGGAUGCAGGUCAGAGGUAGGAUCUGAAGCAAGCCUGCCUGCCAGCCACAUGGCCCAUGGAGCUCAGGGCCCAGGAGGAAACACGGCCAGGGCAGGCAGCCAGACCCCCACCCUUAGUCCUGCUUGGUCCAGGAAGGCUGGGAGCCUCUCCCAAGGUCACGCAGCAAGGUCAGGCCACUCAAGCCCAGUGUCCUCUCCUCAACCCCAGGCUGGGGUGGGGAUGGGGGCUGAGGAAGGGUGAGUUCAGGCCGGCAUCCGCUUCACCAUCUGCAGGGUCCCCCCACUUCCUGGAGCCCCCCUCCGUUGUGUCCCAACAGCUCUGUGGGGCCCAGCCCACCUCUGGUGUCCCCCCACCAUGGUGCCCCUUGGCAGAGGGCUGGCCGGGACUCCUGGGCCCAGGGAGCCCACCUGGACCUGCUGCUUUCACCUGCCUGGCUCAAAUCCUCAGCAUCUCCAGGUGAAACCUGCAUCCGGCUGGCCAGGGCCGAGUCAUCCAAUGACCAGGGUGCCCACGAAAGAGGUGCCUCUGCCGUCCACAGCUCUGGCUCCCCCAGCCACGGGGACCACAGUGUCCUCUUUGGCCCAGGAGUCCACACACCACUGGUCACAGCCGCCCGGCCCCUGCCAGACCAUCUGAGGGAGUGGACCGAGCCUCUCCAGACUAAGUGGACUAAGCAGGGACGAAGCUCCUCCCCAGACCCUGGAGAACCCAGGCCAGAUCUGGAGACCCCUGACUCAAGGCCGGCUGUCACAAUGUGACCGGGACUCAGAGCCGAGGCUUCUCCGCAGGCCCGGAGGCGGCUCUAUGUGCAGUAAUCAGAGCCAGGCCCCAAGCCACCCGGCUGGCCCAACCGAGCGGGCCCCCAGGACGCCUUGGCCGCAUCUGCAGGUGGGAGCACUGAGGCACGGAGCACUGUGUAGCCUGGCCUCUGCCACGUGAGCCCCGAGGGGAGCCCACGACCCUGCUGUAUCAGCCCUCAGACUGGAACCGGCUUCAAAGGGCGGGGAGCUCCCGGCCGACAUCCUGUCCUUGCCAGUCCCUCCGGAGGACCACCCACAGAGAGGCCUCACCCUGUCCUCCCUGGGGAGGAGCCUGUGGCCCAGACAGGGAUGGGGAGCCCCGGCAGGCCCCCCACCGCGUGGCCCAGGCCCCUGCCUCUAAGGGUGCCACGCAGAGGCUCCCGCUGGCCUGAGCCAAUGAGAGUGAGGUGGGCUUCGUGUCACCAGCCCGGGGCAGCCCCUCCCGUGAGGGCAGCGCCCGAGAAGGCCCGGAGGCUCAGGGCCACCGCCUGCGAGGGGACCCUCCCUCCCGAGGAGUGGGCCAGGCCUGUCCAGUCCACCUGGCCCCAAAGCCAAACACCACACGGGGCUGCGGCCACCGCCCCCUCCCGCUGCCUCCCCGGGGCCCCCAUGUACUGGAGGAGCAGCCGCUGUCCACGCACACAGGGCUCCAUGUGCCCACCUGCCAGGGGGCUGAGUUAUUUA
Bos taurus (domestic cattle) is the source of this 2466-nucleotide long non-coding RNA. The record is from Ensembl. NCBI's taxonomy places the organism in Eukaryota, Metazoa, Chordata, Mammalia, Artiodactyla, Bovidae.